RNAcentral lists this small RNA (29 nucleotides) under Bombyx mori (domestic silkworm). RNAcentral's name for it is "ovarian small RNA-6745". The record is from RNAcentral. Lineage: Eukaryota; Metazoa; Arthropoda; Insecta; Lepidoptera; Bombycidae.
UCAACACGAAUGCACUGGACGUCUUAUCC